GGGAUUUUGUUUUGUUUUCCUCUACCCAAAGGUAUAUUUCCCAAGAGAUAUAACUAAAACAUUCAAUAAUAUUUCUUUGUAUAGCAUCCAAUAAUGCAAUGGCUGGAAGACAAGAAAGCGAUGGAGUAGCUGGGCGGGUGCACUGGAUAUUAUCAAUAAUUUUGAUGCUGUGGAGUUACCAGAGCAGUGGACAAGGACAAGAGAUCUCCUUAUGAAGCCUGAAAAAGAACAUUGUUUCCCAGAAGUGCUGUGAGUUCAGAGUUCAGGAGGAUUACAGAAUCAGGU
This 285-nucleotide long non-coding RNA is filed under the name Manacus vitellinus (golden-collared manakin). RNAcentral's name for it is "lncRNA (ENSMVIG00005003529.1)". Lineage: Eukaryota; Metazoa; Chordata; Aves; Passeriformes; Pipridae. The record is from RNAcentral.